Molecule: long non-coding RNA, 222 nt
Filed under: Capsicum annuum
Lineage: Eukaryota; Viridiplantae; Streptophyta; Magnoliopsida; Solanales; Solanaceae
Description: long non-coding RNA (CANN_LNC013649)
Source: RNAcentral
UAAAUCCCAAAAAUCUUCUAAUUUCUACCCUCCUCUUCUGAAAAUUACUCCAAUUCUAGCCCAACAAUAAUAACAACAAUUUCAGCUGGCCCAUUCCCAAACAGGCCCAUGCCUUUCAAGUUUCCAGCAACCAAACAAUACCAAUAAUUCACCAGCCCCACCCCUCUUCCUAUAGGGUUAUUCUCAAAUAUAGACCCCAAUUAGGGUAGCUUUCAAAUUUUA